Molecule: ribosomal RNA, 551 nt
Filed under: Anopheles minimus
Lineage: Eukaryota; Metazoa; Arthropoda; Insecta; Diptera; Culicidae
Description: partial 16S ribosomal RNA
Rfam family: Bacterial large subunit ribosomal RNA
Source: RNAcentral
CGCCUGUUUAACAAAAACAUGUCUUUUUGUAAUUUAUUUAAAGUCUAACCUGCCCACUGAAAUUUAAAGGGCCGCGGUAUUUUGACCGUGCGAAGGUAGCAUAAUCAAUAGUCUUUUAAUUGAAGGCUGGUAUGAAUGGUUGAAUGAGAUAUAUACUGUUUUUUUAAAAAUUUUAUAGAACUUUAUUUUUUAAUUAAAAAGUUAAAAUAUAAUUAAAAGACGAGAAGACCCUAUAGAUCUUUAUUUUUAUAAAUUAUAAUUUAUAAAGAAUUUUAAAAAUUAUAUUUUAAAUAAAAUUUUAUUGGGGUGGUAUUAAAAUUAAAUUAACUUUUAUUAUUUAUUAACAUAUAUUUAUGAAUAAAAGAUCCUGUUUUAUGGAUUAAAAAUUUAAGUUACCUUAGGGAUAACAGCGUAAUUUUUUUAGAGAGUUCAUAUCGAUAAAAAAGAUUGCGACCUCGAUGUUGGAUUAAGAGUUAUUAUUAGGUGUAGAAGUUUAAAGUUUAGGUCUGUUCGACCUUUGAAUUCUUACAUGAUCUGAGUUCAAACCGGAG